GAUUGGAUGCUGGAUUCGGCUCAUUUAUCGCCAUUGGAUGCUCGCGCUGUCAUUCUGAAUCUGUUAUUGCCACUUCCCGCGCCAUUCGGCGUGCACGCGCAAGACAAGCAGGCACGUAACCGCUUGGAGACUGUCUGGAGUCUGUCUGAAAUUGAUAAAAUUGGGAGAUGGAGUUUUGCAUGUCUUUGCACAUAUUCAAGGAAGCCGGCUAUUGGAAAUGGGAUUUUCUUUGCUCUCUCCUCCUCAAACGCCUUCGCCCAUGAGUCGCCACGCUCAGACAAAAUAUUUUUUUAGAUAAACGCUGUGAAAGUUUUUUCUUCUGCAGUCUACCAGCAGACAGCUCUGCUGUACAGGGGAGCAGCCCUCAGCUCAGCACCUGGAGGUCAAGAGGAGUGCACCAUCCAGAAGGCAGCCUCCAACAGCUCACAAAGGCCUGUCCCAAACCUGAUCCAGUGUCUGACAAAAAUGAUUGGAAUUGCAAUUAGAAAGGAGAUCCAUGGCGUCUUGCAGCCUUUCAUGCCUUCAUGUCUUCGACGCUGGAGUGUGUCCGCUCAAAUGAGUCCCUGGUUUUGGCCUGAACCACAACAUAGCCCAAUGUGCGAAUUGGCUUUGAUGUUGAGACUGUUCCUCAGGAAUGAGUGUAGCGAUUCCACCAUCAUGGCCGCCACUACCAACCCCGCCCUCCUGCCUGCCACUCAACAACAGUUAAAAUGGCAGCAUGCAGCAAAAUGAGUCUGGCUGCCACUUCAUAACAACUAUAUUGUAAGGCAUUCCACAUCCAAACUGCAGUGUGGAGAAUUUUGAGUGUAGAGAGCUGGUGGUGGACUAGGAGGAAGAUGUCAUGCUAAGGAUGGGUUUUGGUGAUGAUGUUGCUGCUAUUGAUGCAGCAUCGAGCUCUCACUUUGUGCCUCUGUCAGCUAUGAUGCGUAACCACAAAGUGAGUGACAGGCCAGUCCCCGGGGAGAGCAGGGGGCCUGAGGACGGCACCGGGCUUGAGGGACUGCUCGGCCGGCUCUCUGGCGUUUGAGCCGAGGGCUGCGCGUAAAAUAAAAGGGCAUCGAGGAGGAGCAGAGGAGCAGCAGGACUGAGACUGAGAUUGUCUUACACGUCACCAGCGCUCAGUACUAUGGAGUACUACAAAAGGUGACGCGCAGAAGGAGGAUUUGUGAAUGGACGCCGUGAUGUGUGCCAGCUCACAGAUCAGAGGGCGGUGGGACCUCUGCAGAUGCAAACUGUGAGCCCCCUCACACCCCACCCCUACCCCAGCACCCCUCCCCUCUCUCUCCCGGUUACCAUCCCUCCCUCCAGAUGAAUGGGGGUCUCUAAGAUAUCAGUUCUGUCACCAUGCAGGGGUCGGACCAAAUCCUCCAGCUUCCUGUGCCUUUCAAAACCUGAAAGCACGUCUCUCCUAUUUGAUGAUCCUAUAUGAUUUUUUUGUUGCGCUUUUGUGGGCCUGGAAGCUCGCUGCCCUUUGUUUCCCAUCCCGGGUCAGCCAAGAGCAUGGCAGCCGAAUUAGAAAAGAUUAGGAGCGGGCCUAAUUGCUGUAGGCCUAUAGUCCACACUGCAAAAAGUCAACCAAUUUAAAAAUAAAAUCUAUCUCAAAUAAAAUUUUAUAAUUUGAUGAGGGAGUUCCACCUGUUUCCAAUGGCCCAUUGUUUUCCAAGAUUAUUCAGUAGGCUAAGUUUUGUGUGUUGCAUAUGGGAGAAAUGGGCAGAUCACAUGGAGAUAAUGUGGGGGGAAAGUAGAUUUGGAUUAGAAACCAAUGCAAUUAUUUGAUCAUAUUUUUUAAAAAAUGUCUUACUUCAAGAUAUAGUUAUUUUUGCAGUUUCAUCGUUUAAUAACGAGCCACUGCCUGUUUAGUAGGCUACUAUUGCUUCACUUUACUGGUCAAAUCUUGCUGAAAUACUGUUAUAUGUAAAGCUAAUUUAGUUUAACUCCUAAACUACUUGUUAUUCUUGUAAAAGUCAUAACUUGAUAUAAAACUUGAAUUUGGAUUUUUAUUUAAGGGAAAACAUGUAGUGAGAUGGUGCUUCUCAAAGUCUGGUGUAAUCCAUUUAUUUUUCUGUUUCUGUUGGCGAAUCGCCCUCCAGAUAUCAUCCUUUACUCCACUAUUUAUUCAUCAUACAUCUCUGUAUGUAGAUGAUGUCUAUAUAAAUGUUUCCAUGGUGGGAAUGUGUUUACAGAGAAAUCCUCUGGAGUCGCCACGCAGCGGACUUUGGGACUGCUGAAUCUUCUGGUUUCAGCCCUUUAUCGGUUUUAAUAACUCUUAAUCCGUCUGAUCGCUCUGGCGAAGAUAAGUCUCAUUUGAAUUGGGAUUGUUCUUAAGGAGCGGCUCGUAUUUCUCCACAGAAGUCUCAAACAGAGCUUAGCACAAACAACUGCACCACCCUGAGCGCAAUUAAGGCCUCAGCUAAAUUAGAUGAAGGCUAAUUGAAUGCAGCUGACUUCCUAUCAGCAAACUCUCCAAUGCUUCACUGAUAUGAGAAUAACGUGCAGUGGCUUUUAUUUACAUUUUACAGGAGGAUAUAGCCUAUUUCUUGAAAAGUCAGAAAAGUGAGUUUUCUAACAGACAAAGCAGAAGCACUCCUGUCUCGAUUUACAUCCUAUCUGAGGGGGGCAUUGAAAAAGUUUCAAGACGUAAAACUAAAGGGUAAAGAAAAGGUUCUAUAGCUGUGGUUAAUUGAGGUGUGUUGCAGAGUGGUAGGACACGUAAGCAAUAUAAAAAUUAUAAUUUAGCCCUAUACUGUGGCGGGUUUAGUCAAUUUUGUAGUUAUUUCUGGUCACAUAGUAGAUUAACAAAGUGAGUGAUUGGUGAACUAAAUAAAAUCCUAAAUAGGCUUAUUAUGAGUCCAUGCUUGUCUCCAUGAGACAAAAGCUAGAUGAAGAAUAUGAGGAAUAUGUGUGUUCAGUGUCUCAGUGUUUUUUUGCCAACUCAGGAAGCUUAAAUCGAAAAAUAAAACCAAAAAGACAUACCCUACCCAAAACAAAUUAAAGUAACAAUAGUAAACCUAACACAAAAAACAAGGGGAGUGAUAAUAAAACAACAUGGCAGCGCUCCCGACACAGUAAUUCAACACGUUAGGAAAUUCUUGCCAAAAGUAAAUUGCUUUAAAUUGAAAUUCACUGUCAUUGUUUUCCUUUUAUUUUGAAAAAUAUUUAAAGGCAAAUGAGAAAUGAGCUUUUUUUUUUACCGGCCCAUCCUAAAUUGUCACUGUAAGAUCCAAUAACAAAGUGAAUACAGGGUUAAAAGGAAGAAGACUCACAUUAAAACGCACAAAGAUGGUUAACCACUCUUAGGGGCAGGUUUCCCCUCUGAACUCUAUAACUUUAAAACUAGUGUUUCACUAUUAUUUUAAUGUCAAAAUGAUAGUCUUAAAAGUCAUAUUUUCGUUUUGUUUUCUGAAGAAUUUCCUCACAAAAGAUUAUUUAAGCCCCAGUCCCCCCUCCAUAUGCAUCAGGUAGCCUAGAUAAAGUGUUAUCUGCGUGGUAACCAACUGGUGUCAGGCCCACAGUAUUCUUCACAUACAGGCCUACUGUAGUUUUCCAGCUGUAUUUUUCAGGUGACGGAACGUCUUCACUUGUGACAGCAAAGAAUGACCUGCACGUGGUGGCUAUUCCGGUAAGGUUAAUGGGUUUACAUUCUCAGUCAUACAGAACAAAUAGGCUACCACGCAACAUAGGGAGGAGUGGGGGAGUUGAGAGCGACGUCCUAAGUCUACGUAUAAAAGAAAAGCCCAUGUAAAGUAAAAGGUGCACCACAGCAGCAGCGGUGCGCCGCAGUCUCCCUGAAAUUCAGUGACCUACACUCACUUACUGAGCUCGGUGGCCCCAAAAGUUUUUGGUCCUUGAUGCUCAUGUGCACCCAGGGUGUUUUACGGGGUUUGGAUCGUCCAAAUUCCUCGUGCACCUGUCUCGAGCUUCUGCAGGCGUUUAUUAGGAGGGAGGAACAAGUGGGAGAGGGACAGGUGGAAAGCACUUGAUGCAGAAUAAACUCAUUAAGCAUGCAGGCAGGGCAGUGAAAUAUUCAUCGCCAGGCAAAAAAUUAUGAUAUUUUAUGCUUUAGAUUGAUUUCUUAGAUUGAAGUCUUCAUGUAUAUAAGUUUGCAACCAUUACAUCUCUGCAAGGUGCAUUCCCCCCCUAUAAAACAACACAAAACAUGUUAAACUAGAGGCAUGACAGGCCUGUAUUUCCCCAGUAGUUUUCAUCUUCAAUUUAAUCAACUCCUAAAGUAAAUUCAAACUGUAGAAUUUCUUAGUGGAUUUAUUUUAUUUAUUUUUUUACUAUCCGGACAGUUACACAUGUCAACCCAACAGGCCAGAUGUGAUGCAGCUCGGAGUUUUAAAAGUUACACCUUUUACUGAAAGUGCUCCAAAGAAAAAUCCAGCAUGCCAUCAAGUUGUUUCUCCCGUUUAUUUACGUUUCAUUCUAAAUGGGAGAAACAAUUUCUGUUAUGUCUCUGGCUCCAGCUUGCAACUUUAAUUAUAGUGGAAGGAGGUCAGUCAUAAGCGGUUAUUCGACCCUUCUCCCUGUGUGGCAUCGCGCCCUGCGCCGUUUAACUCGCCAAAAUAGUGCUGGACUCCCCUGAAAGCGCCAUGUGCGAUGGAGUCCCUUUCACCCCGUGUGCACCUGAGUUGUUUUUACCCCCCAGUCGCAGAUAUGUUGUGAAUUUGUCACUUAUCAGGGGGCGGGCUGUCAAAGGCCAUUUCAGGCGCAAUAACUUUCCCAGAUGGAUUUAGCCUGCCAACUUUGUGCAUCUCUCAGCAGCGAGAUGAAUAGGCCGCAUGCCUGUUGCUUCCCAGAAAUGCCUCUUACGCCUACUAAUGAAGACUAAUUAAAACAUGACAAACAUCGGCCUUUAGUGCACCCUGAACAGGGCUGCAAGCAUGAUUUUGAUUAUGCAAAAAAAAAACUCCUCCAGUCUUUGACACUGUAGGUGACAUAUAGGACAUCUUUCUUUAUGUGUGUCCAUGAGCGGAUCAGUUUUACAUUUGGUGUAGGUUUGUGUGAUGUCUGUUACACAACCCGUUUGUGCUUUUGAUUUUUUUGGAUACAUAGUCUGAAUGACUUUCAAAUGUGAUAUUUUUAAGAAUAUGUGUUUCACAUAUUCUUAAUCUCAUAAUCUUAAAAUCAGUGAGUAAAUAUGUUUAAUCCAGAUAGCCAAAGAACCCCCUCAUAUUUAAUUAUUUUUUAUUAUUUAUAGUAAACUAAGGGAUGAGCAUGGAUAUUGACCUGUGGUGUAAAUAUUUAGCCUUCUAUCAAUGAGUUUCCACCAAAUGCUGAAUUUUGUUGUUGGUUUUGCCUCUCAGGAUAGAUCAUGCAAUGGAAAUGCUUGCCUUGAUCUAUUCCAUUACCUUAGUUAUUAUUAUUACCCUGCUUGAUUUACAGAGUCUGAUCUGGGCUGUGAGAUGCACUGGGUGUGUUUAAUUUACACUGGGAAGGAUUUGUUUGGAUGGCAUGCAUAAUGUGCCAUCACCUGAGGUUUAUGUUGUCAUUUUUAUUAUUGUCCUGCGGAGGAAGAAGAGGAAUCAACGGGAAUGGCACACAAGGCUGAGCACGCUGACUGAACUGAUAAAUCCCACUGUGACAUGAACUGUUGUUUACACUGUUAAAUAUGUUGCUAGUCUAUUCCCUGUGUUUUUAUGUGGAUGUUUUGCUUACAUCUCUUUGAUUUCCCUGUGAUUUAACCCAAAGCACCGGAGGAAUGACCCCCCCCUCCAAAAAAAAAUAGAAAUGAGUAAAUGAAGAAAGGGUGUGAUAAUUUCACCCCAAACAGGGAUACAUAGAAAAAGCGGAGAGCUGCCUGAGACUGCCAUUUGAAUGGGAUCCGAGAGGUCAUUUGAGCUAAAAUGGAGUCCACUUCUGAGCCACUCACACAGCCCCCCCAUGGCAUCCACUGUAAUUCAUUAUUCCUGGCCGGCACUGGGAGAGGCAAUGAGCGAGGGCAGAGGACAGGAGUGGACCCAGCUCUGGUGUAAUGAAGACUCAGUAGACCUAAACGACCCACACACAGACACACACACUUACACACUCACACACACCCACCCACACACACAAUCUUUCAUUAUAUAUCACAGAGAGCAGGACAUUAAUGCCACUGAAGACCUUUUGGCAGAGAAAUAAGAGUGUGCAAUGAUUUUCUCCACACUCAAUCCAUUUCAUUGACCUUUUCCAUCAUGCAUGUGACUCUACCCUGCUCACUGCAGUGUGAGAUAAAUAUUCCAAGAAUAAUAUUCCUGCUGCUGUUUAAUAAAUUAUCUUUUUGAAUCUGAAUUUUUAUGUUCAUCAGUGCAUUUUGAGAGGCUUUAAGUAAAAUCUGUAUUUUAAAAAAAACAUUUACUGAUAUGAUUUGAAGUUUUCUCCCUCUUUUGUAUGCAGCAUUUGCACACUUGAACAUGCAUUUUUAAACAUGGAGUUUGUUAUCUUAGAUCAAUUAAAUACACUCUAUCUAUGUUUUGUCUAAAGGCUCAGGAGAUUUACCUUAAUUAGUAUUCAUAAAAGUAGUUGGGUGAAUAGGUUUUUGCCUAGCAAGACCCUGCUGGUCCUUGUCCCUCCACUAGGAGUCCAUAGAUGUCUGGGUAAUACUGUCCAGACAACCUAAGAGGAUAAAUACUGUCAUCUGGUGGUAACAAAAGCAAUCACUACUCAAUAGAAAGAAUGUGUGCCUCUUAAUAUCUUUCCAUUCUAUGUAUUUAACUUUUCAACAUAAAAACAAGUUGCUUAGAUUUUACUUGGUCCCAAAGGACCAAACAUCAUUUUGGCUCCAGAGUAGGAGCGUGAGUCAAAGCAAACACUUGUCAAGAUAAAAGCACCUGAGAUGCUUUUAAAUGCAUGUGUCAGGCAGAGUGAGGGGACAGCAGCUCCCUCUGCUAGGAAGUUUACAACAGACUUCAGAGGGAGUCAGACCACCUGUGUCCACAAAGUCUGAGUCAGAAACCGCUGAAGGGCCCCUAAGGUGAGAAGAAAUUAUUAUACAAAAGUUUGAAAAAGUAAUUUAAAGUGGAUGACAGUCAUUGGCUCACAUGAAUGUAUAUUAGCUAAAGGUUUUAAUGGGUAUUUUGAGGUCUGGUACUAUUUUUACUUUGAUAGGAUUAUUAUGAGUCUUUCAAGGUUAUUUUGUGUUUUUGAUUUUAUUUGACCCAGAUCUCUGAAUGUGUAUCACUGUUUUUAUGUUCUAAUAUGUUUUCUUUCUUUCUUUCUAUGAAAUCUAAAGAGAUGUAUUUAUUUAUUUAUUUUUUACACAAAAUAACAAUUUCAUAUGGCUGUACUGAUUUUGCAUGUCUGCUGUUUUCUGCUGUGUAAAAUUGUAAAUGCAAAUGAAGCCAGAAAGAAAACAACCUAAUCACAUAUUUAAAUCACAAAAGUAGUUUAGUAUUGAGUAUUAAAAUAUUACUUGUGCGUAAACAGCAUAGUUGUUAACUAUGCAAAUCAAUAAUUUUAUGUGACAUUAGCUUAGUAGUGAUCCUCCUUUUUGAGAUAUCAUGUCAAGAAAAGUCUCACAACAAAUUCCAUUGGGGAAAGGCUGCAUAAAUCACCAAAAAGACACAAUUUUCCACUUAUUUUAAGAAAGACAUGAUUUAAAGAUUCCUCUUAAGUAGCACAUACACAGUAUUCUAUCAGUAUAUCUACCUUUGCUUCAAAUGGCAAUAUUCUAGAUGCCUUGUACCUUGUUUUAGAUACGUUUCCCAAAAUGUAUCCUGACAUUUGGUAUCUUUCUUUGCUAGAAUUUAAAAUAAACUUGUGUGGAUUUGAGCAAUGUUUGACUGCGCAGCAUGAGUCUGUACUGACUGACCCCACUGGUGGUCCUCUGCUUGUUAUCUUCAAAUGACUUUUAUAGAAGGUAGGCACUGUGCAGCCUGUUAUAUUUUAUAAGUUGUUAAAUGUUAACAUCACUGUCUUCAUGUUUACUGGCAGUUGACUCACAGCAUCAAAUUAGAGGCUCAAUAACAGACCUGACAAAACGCAAUGGUGCUGUGAGGAGGUGAAAUUGAAGAGUCUAGCAGGAGAACCUAUAGAUGGCUCAAAUCAAUAGAUCAGAUGUGCCCCGGCCUGUCUUCUCGCCUUGAAGGAAGGAUAGAGAGAGUACAAGGAAGAGAGAGGGGGUUGUUUUUGGCAAUAAGGAGGCGCUCUAAUGGAGUCUUUCAGUGUGCUGUGGCUGGUAAUGAAAGGAGGUUGAAGCCCGGCCAAUUAUUUUGCCCGAGAAGAGGAGGAGACUGAAAGAGAAGGGAGAGCGAAGAAGAAGUGGCGUGUGGCGCUGGAUCGUUGGCCUGUCAGAGAGAGAGAGAGAGUCAGACCCAUAGAUACAUAGAGAGAGGGAGAGAACAGACAGAUAGAUAGAUAGACAGAUAGAUAGAUAGAUACCCCAGAACGAGGGGUUCAUUCAGAACAGCCCACAGAUAUUGGCCCCACUCCCAGAAAUUUCCCCCAGUGCAAAAGGUUAACUGUCAGUCCCCCGCUAGGUAUAAAUAGAAGUCUGCCCUCCAGAAAGGCGUGUUCAGAGAGGGGGUAGACAGAGGAGGGAGGAGGCCCAGUUCCUCAUGAUCCCAGUGACACACAGGAGGUGGGGGGUAGUUUCAGGGGUUUUGGGAGGGCGGAGGCGGAUGGAAGGGUCUUGCAGAGGAGAGCAGAGAGAGGAAAGAUGCAGCCGAGGACAUUAUAAUGGCUCUGGAGACUGACAGGGACCCCAGACAAAAGAGUGUCCUGAUCUAUUCAACUUGGCCGUGACAGCAGACACAACAAAUGCCAUCAUCAGCACCCCAGAAAGCUCGGGUGCAAUUGAGCUGCGGCCGCAUUUGAAACCCUUAAAAAAAAAGAGGGCUAUUGUUUUACUGAAGCUGUUCAGACAUGUAAUUAGGCUAGGGUCUAAUCCAAGGCAAAAUCAUUUGCUGAAGCUCAGUUGCAUUAUGUAUGUUAUGUAUGUAUGUAUGUAUGUAUGUAUGUAUGUAUCAGGUUUAUAUCACUGGAAGGGAAGCUAGAGAGUGUUAAGUUCUGUUUUUUCUUUCUGGCUGAAAGGAUAUCAAUCAGUAUCAUUGAUACUGUACAAAUAAUAUACAGUAUAUACAUAAUUCUUAUUUUCAUCUUGAAUAAUAAACUAGUUUUACAUCCCUUCAUCCAGUUGCAUAUGUGAGUGAUGACUACAUGCAGAUGUCCUUGUCAGGUGUUUUUUUAUUUUUCACUUAAAUCCAUGGUAGCAAAAAUGAUACACAGCGGAAAUAUCAGACACACAAACUCCGAAACAUCGAAACAAAAGGUGCUUCACCACCUCAAAAAAAUAAAGCUUCCUCUUCAGUUUAGCACACCUGAAUGUGAGCAGAUUCAACUUGACGUGAUCUGCCAUAAAGAAGUACUUAAAAAAAUAAAUCAGGUUUCCUUCAAUAAUGCUACUAUUUGAGACUUUUUACAACAGCUUGACACAAUAUUUUUUUUUUA
This is a long non-coding RNA of Micropterus salmoides (largemouth bass), 9426 nucleotides long. RefSeq lists it as uncharacterized. Lineage: Eukaryota; Metazoa; Chordata; Actinopteri; Centrarchiformes; Centrarchidae. The record is from RefSeq and is a predicted model, not a curated record. The transcript is spliced from 9 exons.